CCCUUAGAUGUCCUGGGCCGCACGCGCGUUACACUGAUGCAUUCAACGAGCUUAUAACCUUGGCCUGAAAGGUCUGGGCAAUCUUUUGAACGUGCAUCGCGAUAGGGAUAGAUUAUUGCAAUUGUUAAUCUUGAACGAGGAAUUCCUAGUAAACGCGAGUCAUCAGCUCGCAUUGAUUACGUCCCUGCCCUUUGUACACACCGCCCGUCGCACCUACCGAUUGAAUGGUUCGGUGAAGAUCUCGGACUUCGAUAUUUAUUCUUUAUUGAGUUUAUAUUGUGGGAAGUUAUCUAAACCUCAUCAUUUAGAGGAAGGUGAAGUCGUAACA
Molecule: ribosomal RNA, 328 nt
Filed under: uncultured eukaryote
Lineage: Eukaryota
Description: partial 18S ribosomal RNA
Rfam family: Eukaryotic small subunit ribosomal RNA
Source: RNAcentral